Molecule: ribosomal RNA, 578 nt
Filed under: uncultured bacterium
Lineage: Bacteria
Description: bacterial SSU rRNA
Rfam family: Bacterial small subunit ribosomal RNA
Source: RNAcentral
UCCUACGGGAGGCAGCAGUGAGGAAUAUUGGUCAAUGGGCGCAAGCCUGAACCAGCCAUGCCGCGUGCAGGAUGACGGUCCUAUGGAUUGUAAACUGCUUUUGUACGGGAAGAAACACUCCUUCGUGAAGGAGCUUGACGGUACCGUAAGAAUAAGGAUCGGCUAACUCCGUGCCAGCAGCCGCGGUAAUACGGAGGAUCCAAGCGUUAUCCGGAAUCAUUGGGUUUAAAGGGUCCGUAGGCGGUCUUGUAAGUCAGUGGUGAAAGCCCAUCGCUCAACGGUGGAACGGCCAUUGAUACUGCAGGACUUGAAUUAUUGGGAAGUAACUAGAAUAUGUAGUGUAGCGGUGAAAUGCUUAGAGAUUACAUGGAAUACCAAUUGCGAAGGCAGGUUACUACCAAUUGAUUGACGCUGAUGGACGAAAGCGUGGGUAGCGAACAGGAUUAGAUACCCUGGUAGUCCACGCCGUAAACGAUGGAUACUAGCUGUUGGGGGCAACUUCAGUGGCUAAGCGAAAGUGAUAAGUAUCCCACCUGGGGAGUACGAACGCAAGUUUGAAACUCAAAUGAAUUGACGGA